Molecule: transfer RNA, 73 nt
Filed under: Agrilus planipennis (emerald ash borer)
Lineage: Eukaryota; Metazoa; Arthropoda; Insecta; Coleoptera; Buprestidae
Rfam family: tRNA
About the family: Transfer RNA (tRNA) molecules are approximately 80 nucleotides in length. Their secondary structure includes four short double-helical elements and three loops (D, anti-codon, and T loops).
Source: Rfam by way of RNAcentral
CCUUUCAUAGCUUAGUGGCCAGAGCAUUGGUGCGUAAAGCCAAAGGUCCCGGGUUCGAUUCCCGGUGAGGGUG